This 497-nucleotide ribosomal RNA is filed under the name uncultured bacterium. Its description in RNAcentral is "partial 16S ribosomal RNA". It matches the Rfam family "Bacterial small subunit ribosomal RNA", at positions 28 to 507 of the family's 1533-position model. The record is from RNAcentral.
GAUGAACGCUGGCGGCGUGCCUAAUACAUGCAAGUCGAGCGAACGGACGAGAAGCUUGCUUCUCUGAUGUUAGCGGCGGACGGGUGAGUAACACGUGGAUAACCUACCUAUAAGACUGGGAUAACUUCGGGAAACCGUAGCUAAUACCGGAUAAUAUUUUGAACCGCAUGGUUCAAAAGUGAAAGACGGUCUUGCUGUCACUUAUAGAUGGAUCCGCGCUGCAUUAGCUAGUUGGUAAGGUAACGGCUUACCAAGGCAACGAUGCAUAGCCGACCUGAGAGGGUGAUCGGCCACACUGGAACUGAGACACGGUCCAGACUCCUACGGGAGGCAGCAGUAGGGAAUCUUCCGCAAUGGGCGAAAGCCUGACGGAGCAACGACGCGUGAGCGAUGAAGGUCUUCGGAUCGUAAAACUCUGUUAUUAGGGAAGAACAUAUGUGUAAGUAACUGUGCACAUCUUGACGGUACCUAAUCAGAAAGCCACGGCUAACUACGUG